RNAcentral lists this ribosomal RNA (498 nucleotides) under uncultured bacterium. Its description in RNAcentral is "partial 16S ribosomal RNA". It matches the Rfam family "Bacterial small subunit ribosomal RNA", at positions 30 to 523 of the family's 1533-position model. The record is from RNAcentral.
AUUGAACGCUGGCGGCAUGCCUUACACAUGCAAGUCGAACGGUAACAGGUCUUCGGAUGCUGACGAGUGGCGAACGGGUGAGUAAUACAUCGGAACGUGCCUAGUAGUGGGGGAUAACUACUCGAAAGAGUGGCUAAUACCGCAUGAGAUCUACGGAUGAAAGCAGGGGAUCGCAAGACCUUGUGCUACUAGAGCGGCCGAUGGCAGAUUAGGUAGUUGGUGGGAUAAAAGCUUACCAAGCCGACGAUCUGUAGCUGGUCUGAGAGGACGAUCAGCCACACUGGGACGGAGACACGGCCCAGACGCCUACGGUAGGCAGCAGUGGGGAAUUUUGGACAAUGGGCGCAAGCCUGAUCCAGCAAUGCCGCGUGCAGGAUGAAGGCCUUCGGGUUGUAAACUGCUUGUGUACGGAACGAAAAGCCCUGGGUUAAUACCCUGGGGUCAUGACGGUACCGUAAGAAUAAGCACCGGCUAACUACGUGCCAGCCGCCGCGGUAA